AACGCACAUUGCGCCCCCUGGUAUUCCGGGGGGCAUGCCUGUUCGAGCGUCAUUACAAACCCUCAAGCUCUGCUUGGCAUUGGGCGAUCGCCCCCUCCGAGGGGGUGCGCCUCAAAGACGUCGGCGGUGGCCUCGAGCCUCAAGCGUAGUAAACAACUCAGCUUGGAGUCCUCGGUGGUCGCUCGCUUCGAGAACCCAACACCUCAAAGGUUGACCUCGGAUCAGGUAGGGAUACCCGCUGAACUUAA
Molecule: unclassified non-coding RNA, 248 nt
Filed under: Epithamnolia sp.
Lineage: Eukaryota; Fungi; Ascomycota; Leotiomycetes; Phacidiales
Description: partial contains 5.8S ribosomal RNA, internal transcribed spacer 2, and large subunit ribosomal RNA
Rfam family: 5.8S ribosomal RNA (bases 1-52)
Source: RNAcentral